GCCCCGGUAGCUCAGCUGGAUAGAGCAGCGGACUUCUAAUCCGCAGGUCCCAGGUUCGAAUCCUGGUCGGGGCG
RNAcentral lists this transfer RNA (74 nucleotides) under Actinomycetota bacterium. RNAcentral's name for it is "tRNA-Arg". It matches the Rfam family "tRNA". Rfam says of the family: Transfer RNA (tRNA) molecules are approximately 80 nucleotides in length. Their secondary structure includes four short double-helical elements and three loops (D, anti-codon, and T loops). The record is from RNAcentral. Lineage: Bacteria; Bacillati; Actinomycetota.